CAGUAGCCGCGGUAAUACGAAGGGUGCAGGCGUUAAUCGGAAUUACUGGGCGUAAAGCGUGCGUAGGCGGUGGGUUAAGUCUGCUGUGAAAUCCCCGGGCUCAACCUGGGAAUGGCAGUGGAUACUGGCUCGCUAGAGUGUGUCAGAGGAUGGUGGAAUUCCCGGUGUAGCGGUGAAAUGCGUAGAGAUCGGGAGGAACAUCAGUGGCGAAGGCGGCCAUCUGGGACAACACUGACGCUGAGGCACGAAAGCGUAGGGAGCAAACAGGAUUAGAUACCCGCGUAGUCCCUGUCUCUUAUAC
Molecule: ribosomal RNA, 301 nt
Filed under: uncultured bacterium
Lineage: Bacteria
Description: partial 16S ribosomal RNA
Rfam family: Bacterial small subunit ribosomal RNA
Source: RNAcentral